AAACCAGCGGGAGCUUCGGCAGGGCCUGCAGAGAGGACAAGCGAAGUUAGAGCCUAGUGUACUUGCCGCUGGGAGCUGGGCUAGGCCCCCAACCUUUGCCCUGAAGAUGCUGGCAGAGCAGGAUGUUGUAACGGGAAAUGCCAGAAAUACUGCAAGCAAAACUGAAAACAACCCAUCCAUGUAGGAAAGAAUAACACGGACUACACGUUAUUCAAGGACACCGAAAAGCCAACACCAUGGUAGCAUUAAUGAAAGUUUACCAAGAGGAAGAUGAAGCCUACCAGGAAUUAGUUACCGUGGCAACCACGUUCUUCCAGUACUUACUGCAGCCAUUUAGGGCUAUGCGAGAAGUUGCAACUUUAUAAGUCCUUGGAUGAGGAUGACCUAGGUCCUAGAAGGGUAGUUGCCCUGGAGAAAGAAGCUGAAGAAUGGACCAGACGGGCUGGAGAAGCUGUCGUCUCUAUUCAAGAUAUCACAGUGAAUUAUUUUAAGGAGACAGUAAAAGCAUUAGCAGGAAUGCAGAAAGAAAUGGAACAGGAUGUGAAGAGAUUUGGCCAGGCUGCCUGGGCCACAGCAAUUCCCAGGUUGGAAAAACUUAAGCUAAUGCUAGCUCAAGAGACUCUGCAACUCAUGAGAGCGAAAGAGUUAUGUUUAAAUCACAAAAGAGCUGAAAUUCAGGGAAAGAUGGAAGAUCUUCCAGAACAAGAAAAAAAUAUAAAUGUUGUAGAUGAAUUAGCAAUACAAUUUUAUGAAAUUCAGUUAGAACUAUAUGAAGUUAAAUUUGAGAUAUUAAAAAACAAAGAAAUACUGCUUACUACACAGUUGGACUCUCUUGAAAGACUUAUAAAAGAAAAACAGGAUGAAGUUGUCUAUUACGAUCCAUGUGAAAGUCCAGAGGAACUUAGUCAUUGACUGUGGUGGGGCUGCAGGACGAUAAGAAUUCGGAAGUGAAAGAACUCAGAAGGCAGUGCCAGCAGCUGGAGUCUAUUAAACGGGGCAGGAUCUGUGUCAAAAGAGCUUCUCUCCAGAGUAGAAAGAGACGGGGUUUCGCCAUGUCGGCUAGGCUCGUCUUGAACUCCUGACCUCAAGUGAUCCGCCCACCUUGGCCUCCCAAAGUCCUGGGAUUACAGGUGUGAGCCACCACCCCCGGACCACAGGAUCAGUGCGAAGAAAAUCAUUGGCUCAGAUUGCAACAGGCUGAAGAAAGCAUAAGAUAUUCUCGUCAGCAUCACAGUAUUCAGAUGAAAAGAGACAAGAUAAAAAGGAGCAAAAGAAAAAAGAAUGGAUCAACCAAGAACGUCAAACACUCCAACAAUUGAGAGCAUUUAAAGAUGUAAGUUUUAUAAACAAUCACCUCAUCUACACUUCUGGGGAAAUAAAUGAAGACCGCUCUAAAGAGGAAAGUAUUAAGAACAGGUCAUUCAGAACAUGUAACAUUUAAAAAAUAACAUUAUUUCUGGUAUAUCAAUAAAAAGCAACAACAAAAAUAGAAUAUCAGUGAUUCAAAACCCAUGAUAUAAAAUAACUGCUGUUUUUGACAUCACAACACGCUUGGGUUCCUGCUCUGCACUCUUCACUGAGUAGUCCUUACUGGCACUGGUGGUUUAGAUUGGCAGGGAAAACUGAAAACUGUUCAACUCCCUUGACUUUAGCUGGCAUUUCCUCUCAUUUGUAAUAAACAAUUCUUUAAAAUGUUAUCCAGGCAGCAUUGUGAUAUAAGUGUAGUGAAAGUGCCCAGUUAAAAGUAAAAUGUGUUGUUUUUUUUUUUGAUAUCUACAACUUUCUUUUUUCUUUUAAAGUAUAUACUUAAGAGGAUGAUGUUAUUUUUUUAUGCCCUCUGUUCCAGGCCUACAUUUGUAUUUCCUCCACAAAAUGAUCCUCAGUCUGUAAUUUUUGUUCUAUUUGACUUUAUUAUUAGAGAUAAAUUCCUUUAAUUAAAAAAAAGCUACUAUGAAGGUUG
Molecule: long non-coding RNA, 1960 nt
Filed under: Homo sapiens (human)
Lineage: Eukaryota; Metazoa; Chordata; Mammalia; Primates; Hominidae
Description: non-protein coding lnc-NIPA1-1:2
Source: RNAcentral